This 430-nucleotide ribosomal RNA is filed under the name uncultured delta proteobacterium. Its description in RNAcentral is "partial 16S ribosomal RNA". It matches the Rfam family "Bacterial small subunit ribosomal RNA", at positions 355 to 774 of the family's 1533-position model. The record is from RNAcentral. Lineage: Bacteria; Deltaproteobacteria.
UGGGGAAUAUUGCGCAAUGGGCGAAAGCCUGACGCAGCAACGCCGCGUGAGUGAUGAAGGUCUUCGGAUUGUAAAGCUCUGUCAGCAGGGAAGAAGCGGUUGCUAGAAUAAUACUCUAGUAGCUUGACGGUACCUGCGGAGGAAGCACCGGCUAACUCUGUGCCAGCAGCCGCGGUAAGACAGAGGGUGCAAGCGUUGUUCGGAUUUAUUGGGCGUAAAGGGUGCGUAGGUGGCGAUAUGUGUCGCAUGUGAAAGCCCUGGGCUUAACCCAGGAAGUGCAUGCGAAACUGUAUUGCUGGAGUACCGGAGAGGGCAGUGGAAUUCCCAGAGUAGAGGUGAAAUUCGUAGAUUUUGGGAGGAACACCGGGAGCGAAGGCGACUGCCUGGACGGUAACUGACACUUAAGGCACGAAAGCGUGGGGAGCAAACA